GACGGAGGGGGCUAGCGUUGUUCGGAAUUACUGGGCGUAAAGGGCGCGUAGGCGGAUUAGUAAGUUGGAAGUGAAAUCCCGGGGCUUAACCUCGGAAUGGCUUUCAAAACUACUAGUCUAGAGUGAAGUAGGGGAUGAUGGAAUUUCUAGUGUAGAGGUGAAAUUCUUAGAUAUUAGAAGGAACACCGGUGGCGAAGGCGAUCAUCUGGGCUUCUACUGACGCUGAGGCGCGAAAGCGUGGGGAGCAAACAGG
Molecule: ribosomal RNA, 253 nt
Filed under: uncultured bacterium
Lineage: Bacteria
Description: partial 16S ribosomal RNA
Rfam family: Bacterial small subunit ribosomal RNA
Source: RNAcentral